RNAcentral lists this transfer RNA (74 nucleotides) under Ignavibacteria bacterium GWA2_55_11. Its description in RNAcentral is "tRNA-Ala". It matches the Rfam family "tRNA". Rfam says of the family: Transfer RNA (tRNA) molecules are approximately 80 nucleotides in length. Lineage: Bacteria; Pseudomonadati; Ignavibacteriota; Ignavibacteria. The record is from RNAcentral. RNAcentral also lists the same sequence under 5 other names.
GGGCCGUUAGCUCAGCAUGGGAGAGCGCCACAAUGGCAUUGUGGAGGUCACCGGUUCGAUCCCGGUACGGUCCA